RNAcentral lists this ribosomal RNA (253 nucleotides) under uncultured bacterium. RNAcentral describes it as "partial 16S ribosomal RNA". It matches the Rfam family "Bacterial small subunit ribosomal RNA", at positions 526 to 779 of the family's 1533-position model. The record is from RNAcentral.
CGUAUGUCGCGAGCGUUAUCCGGAAUUAUUGGGCAUAAAGGGCAUCUAGGCGGCCGGGUAAGUCCGGGGUGAAAACUGCUGGCUCAACCAGCAGCCUGCCUUGGAAACUACCCGGCUUGAGUGCUGGAGAGGUGGACGGAACUGCACGAGUAGAGGUGAAAUUCGUAGAUAUGUGCAGGAAUGCCGAUGAUGAAGAUAGUUCACUGGACGGCAACUGACGCUGAAGUGCGAAAGCUAGGGAGCGAACAGGAUU